UUGGGUGAGCAGCUGUACCAGUUUGCCCAGGACUCAGUGGUCUCACAGAACAUGGGACUUAUUGUUUUAAACCAGGAGAGUCCCAGGGAAACUGGGACAGGUUGGUCACCUUGGGCUUAG
This 120-nucleotide microRNA precursor is filed under the name Marmota monax (woodchuck). The record is from RNAcentral. Lineage: Eukaryota; Metazoa; Chordata; Mammalia; Rodentia; Sciuridae.